This 13878-nucleotide long non-coding RNA is filed under the name Homo sapiens (human). Its description in RNAcentral is "non-protein coding FZD10-DT:39". Lineage: Eukaryota; Metazoa; Chordata; Mammalia; Primates; Hominidae. The record is from RNAcentral.
GGGACAGCCCGCCUGGCGCGCGGGGCUCUGCGCGCUGCGACCCUCCCCGGCAGUCCCGCCCGCCUCUCCUCGCCCUCUCUCUGCCUGGCCUCCAACUUUGCCUCUCGCUAUCCUCUCCGCCGGCGCCCCCUUUCCCGGCGGUCCCCGGGAUGGUCCCCGGCACCCCGAGGACGCCGAGGUUACGGGAAGUUCGGGGACUGGCGGGAGAAGGGGUUUGGGGGUGGUCCGCGGCGAGGGGCGCGGGGUGCAUCUUCUCUUCCUUUUAUGGAGGGGGCCACUUCCUCGGAGAGUAUUGGCUUUUAAUUAAAACAAGCCCUACAAUUUUUACAUCGGGCUGCCACACUUGUGUAUCCCUUCUUCCUUGAAUUUAACCAGGAGUGAGCAGUGGACAGCUUCUUCCCUAUGAGAAGGAGGUGAAGCAGGACCUGAAAUCCCGUGCUCAGCUCCCACAUGCCCCGUGUCCAGGACAAGUCCUUUGCUGAAUCAGCGGCAGACACCACCCGGAGCCCUGCGGGAGCCUUUCCCUGUUCUUCCAGCAUGGAUCUGAAACUCCCUUCCCACUUUCUGCAGCCUCCCAGAGAUAGUUCAGGCUCCAGCCUCAUGUGAUAGCAUGAAGAGAAACUGGUUCCAACAGCUGUGUGCUCUGCUGCCCUCAUCCCAAACAACAGUUUAAAUGCACAAUUACGCUUUUCUCUAAGGCCCAAAAUAGGAUAGGAAAGAUCGUUUUGCUAUCCCUGAAUGCCUGUCACCCUUGUUUCGUAAGGUAAGAUUGGGAAGGGCUUGGCCAUUGCCCUUGCAGCUGAGAAACCAACUUUAGGAAUAAAGACACUCUCUCCAUGUCUGACAAAUGUCUGCCCAUCUGCUGGCAGGUCAGUCUCUCUCUCUGAGAUAUAGAUUAUAUAUGUAUACAUAUAUAUGUGUGUGUGUAUAUAUAAUACACAUAUAUACAUAUAUACACACACAUUCACAUAUAUAAUAUAUAUGUGUGUAUAUACUAUACACAUAUAUAAUCUAUAUAGAGAGAUAUAUAGGUUAUAUAUAUGUACACGUGUGUAUGCAUAUUAUUAUACAGACAUAUACAUACACACAUAUAUAUACACACAGACAUAUAUAUACACGCACACACAUAUAUAAUCUAAUUAUGGAGCUGCCCUUACAGCUCACGCAUGUCAUGCGCACACACGCAGGCACAGUCAUUAGCUUUCAGAGCUGACACAUCAGGAGGCUGCAUCCCCCGCCUCCUCAUGGCUGAACGAUGUCUGCUCCUGGGUGACGCGUCCACUAGGCUGCCUCCUACUCAGGUUCCCCCUCCCCAGCCCCUUGUCUCGGAGCAGUCUUACUCUUAUUUUGUUUGUGGUACUUUUUCUGCCCGUCGAUGAUCUUACUCAUCUGCUUAUGUAUUUAUUUUCUGUUCCUCCUCCAGCAGGAAGUCAGUCCCAGAAUAGUUGUUCUGCUCCCUCCCUUCUAAUAAGUGCUGCGCUGAGUGUGCUUGCUUUGCCAGAUGGUUAAAACAGAGCAGGGGAUAGAAGGACAGAUGUCUUCACCCUCAUGGAGUUCACCUUCCAGUAGGAGGAGGCGAUAGGCCGGGGUCUGCACAUGUGCGUGCUACAGCCUGUUCCACGAGACAGGAUUUCACCAUGUUGGCUAGGAUGGUCUCGAUCUCCUGACCUUGUGAUCCGCCCCUCCCUCAGCCUCCCAAAGUGCUGGGAUUACAGGCGUGAGCCACUGCACCCUGCCAGAAAACUCAUUCUUCUACUCCAUCCUACAGUUUUCCCUAAGAGAGAAACAAUAAAACGCCACCACGACCAAUGGCAAAAAGCUGGCACCCACUCCACGACUUUUCAUAUCUACACGUUUGUACAGCUUUAUUUUUAAGCAUUCUGAAAUUCUAUGCAGGAGAGACCCCAGCUAGGUUUAGGGAGUCCUAGGGUUUGUGGAGUAAAUGAAGUUUCUCCCUAGAAUUAGGGAGGGUAGAGACAGGCAGAGAACUGACAAUCCUAACAGCUGCUGUCCUCAGAGCCACUGUUUCUGAGAGCUGCUCGCUGAGUGCUUCUAGCGAGUUAAAUGGUGUUCGCCCAAAAGACCUGUUCACGUCCUGAUCCUGGGAACCUGUGGCUGUGAUCUUAUUUGGAAAAAGCUCUACAUUACGUCUUUGCAGAAGUAAUCAUGUUAAGGAUCUUGAGAGGACGUGACCCUGAAUUAUCCGGCUGUGCUUGACAUCCAAUGACUGGUGAUGUUGUAAGAGAAAGACGGAGGGAGAUGUAAGAUAUGAGAGAAGGCCACGCCGAGACUGGAGUGAUGUGGCCGUGAGCCGAGGAAUGCCUGGAGCCACCAGAAGCUGGCAAAGGCAGAAGGAGCCUCCUCUGGACCCUGUGGUGGGUACGCAGCCUGGCAGAUAUAUUCAUUUUGGACUUCUGGCCUCCAGGGCUGUGAGAGAAUACAUUUCUGCAGUUUUAAGCCACGCAAUCUGUGUCCCUGGGAAGCCCAAAUAGGGCGAGACCUUUUGCCAAGUGGUCUCCAAGUGUCACGUCAUCGAAUCCUUCUCCCGGGCUUGUGCCAUAGUCUUUCCACUUUAGAGAGGAGGAAACGGAGGCUCUGGGGCACAAAGCCAGUCAGUGGCGGGGCCUGACUUUCAACCCAGCCUGCAUGGGGUCAGAGAACCCACUUUCCCCGUGGGGCCUGCGGCCUAUGCUAAGGAUGCUUGUUCAUCUCUCCUGGGCCCGGGAGUGGUUCUUCUGGCCUAGAAGGCAAGAGAAGCCAGUCUUUCGGUUUCAAGGUUUCCCAUUAGUGGAGUCAAGCAAAAAUGGUGUGUUGCGCUUCUUCCUGAGCUCAGCCUGGGAGCACGGCCUUAACAUGCUCAGUGGAUCCCAAGACGGCAGCAUGGCGGUGCCAGCCUGGCAGCCUUAGCUCCUUGCAGCUGUGCUUGUGAAGGGAGCAGUGAGUGGCUUCCCUCUGUGACCACCUUGGGUCCUAAGUUUCACUGGGGCUGGGAUCCAUGCGUCUUGCAAUUGGCUAGGAAUUUCCCGGGCUUUCCCUCCCUUCCCUGUUCAGGGCACUGGGUGUGAGGCAUUGCAUCCGUUCUUCUGCUCACCUGCUUCCCCCUAAGAGUGUGAGCUGUAUAAAGGCAGGAACCAAACAGGAGCCUCCACGUGUUCCCAGUUCAAGGGCAGUGUCCCUUGUGUGUUUCUUCAAUAAUUCAGUGGAUGACUUAUUCUGCACGGACACUGCACACACUCGGCCCUGCCGUCUCCGGAGCUGGGAGGUGUGGAGCUGGCUCCUGACCUAUUUACACACUGAGGAGGGAUGUGGAAAACAGGAGGAGUCCCAGGGCUCCAAUGCAAAGAGGAGCCUCUUCAUUCCCUCUGCCGUGGCCGUGCAAGGGACAGCGCCUUGUGGGAUUGUGUCCUCCACCCAAUUAUCCUUAGCAUUAGUUUGCUAAGGAUAAUGGCCUCCAGCUCCACCCAUGUCCCUGCAAAGGACAUGAUCUCAUUCCUUUCUGUGUCUGCAUAGUAUUCCAUGGUGUAUAUGUACCGCGUUUUCUUUAUCGAGUCUAUCAUUGAUGGGCGCUUCAGUUGAUUCCAUGUCUUUGCUACUGUGACUCGUGCUGCAAUGAGCAUUCGCGUGCAUGCCUUUAUGGUGGAAUUAUUUCUAUUCCUUUGGGUGCAUACCCAGUCAUGGGAUUGCUGGGUCAAAUGGCAUUUCUGCCUCUAGGUCUUUAAGGAAUUGCCACGCUGUCUUCCACAAUGCAAGCAAGACGUUAUUGAAAGUGUAAAGGGGGCUGCUAAUUACGCUGGGGCAGGCGGGGCAAACCAGGACCCUGCCAGGCGAGUCUAGGCCAUGGCCCCACACCAGAAGAUGAGGGCUGGAGACUCCUGGAGAGGAAUCUGAGUGGCGAGACCACCUGCAUUCAUUAUGUGUCAACUCUGCCAGGUGACAGUCCCCAGUGAGCCCAUCAAACAUGAACCUAGGUGCUGUUGGGAAGGUCUUUGGAUGCCAUUAACAUCUACAAUCAGUUGGUUUUCAGUAGAGGAGAUUAUCCUCAAGAAUGUGGGCGGGCCUCAUCCAGUGAGCUGAAAGGCCUUGAGAGCAGAACUAGGAUUUUGGAGGAGGAUGAAGUGUUGCCUCCGGACCGCAGCGUCACCUCUUGCCUGGGAAUUUCCAGCUUCCUUUUCAGACUUCGGACUUGCCUCCAAGCUCCCUGAAUCUUUUCAUAUAUUUAUGUCCUAUUGCAGAUUGUGUUUCUCUGGCUGGACUGUAACUGAUGAGGAGGACUGAAAUUCCAGGCUUGGUUGUAUAGCAUAUAAGUGAGGUCAUUUGGGUCUGGGGAGCUGGGGGGGGGGUCCUUCAGCUGCAUGAGUGUGACCUGCACCAAGGUGCCUGGCUACCUGGGGCGAGGGGGCUGCCAUCUAGCCCACACCCCACUCCUAGGCCGUGCACCCUGGCAUGGGUCUAUGUCUGGCUCAAGGAAGGGUUCCCUCCUCCCUCCAAUGUGCACAGAGACCUUGAGAUCCCAUCCACCUAACCCUGUGCCCUCAGAAGCCUCCUCUGAGAGGGGGCACCUUUUCCUAAUUCUCACAAAGGCUAGUGGCUACCUUGUAGAUAGCCUUGGAUGUGUUAGGACACUUUUCUGAACAUCAGUUCCUUAUCUGUAAGAUGGGAGUUGUGUCCUCAAUGGGUAAUUAGAGAUUAUUCAUGGGAAAUCCUAUCACGGUAUCUACCACGGGGAGACUCACAAGUGCUGAUCUUUGCUGGUGUUGCUGCAUUUGUUAUUGAAUGCAUUCGUUAGGAGUCUUGUUAGUAAGUGACAAAAAUCCAACUCAAAUUGGCUUACACUAAACAAGUUUCCUGCAUCUGGGAGUAUAAAGGGUGACGCUUUGGCAGAGGCUGGCUCUGGAAAACGAGGACGCACAUUUGUGCCCCCACUUUCCUCUGUGCGGCGUCCUUCUCUUCAAGGCUUCCCCCAGUUUGGCAAACACGGCCCCAGCAAUGUCAAGCUGAGAGCACCUUUUAAGAAAGACCCUUCCUUCCAUGUGUUUUGGCAAAAGUCCCAUGAAGCAGUAUGAGUGGCCCGGUUUGGGUCAUGGGCUCACCCCUAAACCAGCCGCUCUGGAUGGAUUAGUUCCAAUUGGACAGGCCAUGGUCUUGGACUCUUUGGGUGAGUGUGGGAGGGUGUGGGAGGGAAGAUUCAUUGAACCUCAUCUCUACUACAUGGUACAGCUCCCUGGAAGAAAGAGGGGCUCCAUUACCAGAAGGAAACAAGGAAUUUUAUGGGGAACCACAUUAUCACUACCACAAUCUACCAUGCUAUACAUAAGAAAUGCACCUUGGUCUUAAUGCACGGUCUUGAGGGGGUGCAAGCUGAAUCCAAUUCCCAGCGUCUGGGUCAGUGUCCCUCAUGGGGGAGCUGCCUCACUUAAGAUUCCUUUGGAUAGGUAAGGUAGAACACCAAGCUGCGCGGGAUUAUGAAAAGAAAGGGAGAAAUUCACUGGCUCGCAGAAUUGAAAAGCUGAGAUCCAGCUGUACUUUUAAGCCUGAGCCAUUCUCCAGCUCCUGGCCCUGCCUCUCGCUGUCUUGGCUUCACCCUUCACAGACUGCCCUGCAAGGACCGAGGUGGAGUCUCAUUGGACUGGCUCAGGUCGUGUGCCUAGUUCUGAACCAUCCACUGUUUCCAGAGGGAUGGGGUAUCCUGAUUAGCCAGGAAGAAGUCAGACGUCUCUGAGCUAACUUUACUGAGAAUUGGGUAGAGGAGGUCCCCCAAAAGUAAAGUUGGGCACUGCAGUUCAGGAGAAGGGUGAUCACUGGUUGCUAAGCAACCAUAAAGUAGCCAGCAUCUCCUGUGGGUUGGGGUUUGCGCCUGUGAAUGGACAAGUGGCACUCGGAAAUUAAAUGCAGUGCAUCCAGUGCUCAAGCUCCUGGGCUUCGUCUGCUCCACACUUUUUCCUCUGCCCUUUGGGCUAAAGCCGUUGGGUUUGGGACAAGAGAAGGGGAGAGCUGGUACCUCUUCCCUUUUUUGCCCAGGAAAGUUGUUUCUCCAUCAUUUCAUGGCUCAAAGUCAUUAAAUCUGAGUAAUUCUUACAAACCAGAUCCAGGAAGAAUCUAGGAGUGGGCUCUCUGUAGAUUAGAAUGCUUCAGGCUGCAGGUAACAGAAGACUUGACUGGAAAUGCCUUCAACAGAGAAGGGAUGUAUCAUUUUCUAGAAGGAGAAAUUCUGCAGCUGGGACGGUUCCAGGGUUGGUUUCUUUGGAAACUCAGAACUUCAUCGAGGCUCUGGAUUCAUUUCUUCUUUCUGCUGUGCCAUUUCCAGCCUGUUGACUUGGCCUGGGCCAGCUGUCCUCUCACGCUCAUGAUUGCUGCCUCUGCUCCUGCCAUCACAUACACAAGCAGUGCCUGUUCAGUGGAACAAAAGGAAAUCAAAAAGAGGAAUCACAUUGUCCUGUGUCUCUACAAUGUUUUUUUUUUUUUAAAUCAUGAAAACCGUUCCCAGAAACCCCACAACAGACUUUCUGUUUCAUCUCAUUGGCCAGAACAGUAUCACAGGAGACUACUGGGAUUGGCAUAGACUAGCUAGGAUGCACCCUUAGAGCCCGUGGAGGACGGCAGACAUCUGAGCAGAGCUGGGCCUCAGCGGGCAGGGGAUGACAGGGACUGGCAGGCAUCCUUUUGGUCACUCAGAGGACUUCCUUCAAUCCACCCAGGGCUGGUUGGCAUCAUAAACUCAGGAUGGCAGCACUUGGAUGGCUGUGGUUGCUUUGUCUCCAGUGAGUGCCCCAGGAAACCAUCUCUUCUGGUCGCCACACGGCUAUUUGGUGAGCUGCUUGCUGGGGUGAGCUGCUGCUGAAUGGGUGUGGUUGAAACUGGAAGGGUGAGGUCCCAAAGCCACUGUCUGCCCCUGGGUGACUGCAACAGGUAGCCCCCCCACCAACUUCCAGGCAAAUCCGUGGGAAAUGGAACAAGGUAUCAAGGGGAACAGGGGAGUCAGGCCACCAGGGCCCCACUGAGGAAGGCACCUGUUGCACCAUAUUUUGACGUCUUGAAUGUGUAUCCACUGGCCCAGGGAGUGGCUUAAUUACCAGUGUAAUAGCAGGUCCACUUACAGCUUCAGGUUUCGUAGAGGAAAAAGCAUCAUUGCAAAAUGCUUUUGAUGUGGUUAAGCGGUGAGGCCACAGUGAAUUUUAAGUGCUUGGUAAAGCGCAUGGAAAAAGAAAAGCACAAGUCAUACUUGGUAAAGGACAUUUCCCUUCCUAGAUGCCAGGUGUGAAAGGAUGCCAGGAAUAUUCUCUGCUCUUUCCUCCUGCUUCCUGAAGGACUGAGUCCACACUAACUAUUAUCAAACAAACAAACUUCCAGGGGAAAAGACUGCAGAACCUAUACAUUCUUUAUAAUUGGAAUCACAGCUAUACAUUCUUUAUAAUCAGAAUAACAGCUCUACAUUCUUUAUCAUCGCAGCUAUACGUUCUUUAUAAUCAGAAAGUGCUUUCUGGCCAGGCACGGUGGCUCAUGCCUGUAAUCCCAGAACUUUGGGAGGCCAAGCCAGGUGGAUCACCAGAGUUUAGGAGUUCGAGACCCUCUGGCCAACAUGGCAAAACCCCGUCUCUACUAAAAAUACAAAAAAAAAAAAAAAAAGCCCAGUGUGGUAGCAGGCGCCGGUAAUCCCAGCUACUCAGGAGGCUGAGGCAGGAGAAUCGCUUGAACUCAGGAGGCGGAGGUUGCCGUGAGCCAAGAUCACAUCACUGCAUUCUAACCUGGGCAACAACAGUGAGACUCCAUCUCAAAAAAAGAGAAAAGUGCUUUCUGCUGUCUUACUGAGGUCCCUGCUGCUCUGCUAACUCCUUCUCAAGCUGAGAGGUAAAGCAGGUGCUUUACUUCUGUGUGGUCAUGUGUUGGGUGCCUGCUACAUCAAAACGCUCUUCCAUAUGCAGAGAAAAUCAGAAGGAAGGGAGCACUGAGUGGCUAGUGGGCAAAGGGGAGAGACAGCGAGACCAACACAUGCCACAGAGCUGCCUUUUAUAUGAAUUCAAAUUCUGGGAUUUCGGACUAGGGCAAUAUGACAAAUAUUCAUGGACUUUCACUAGACCAAAAUUGGAAUAAAUGCUACACACACCCCAAUUUUUAAAAUUAGUAAAAACAUGUGACUUUAAAGCAGGCUGCCUACGUUGAUAAUAAACCACAUUUUCCCUAACGUGAAAAGUCAGUGCCAUUCGAGCUUGUCGACAGAAAUACAGAACAAUUCCUCAGUGAUGUGUGCUUCUUUGCAAAAAUCAGCCUUGAAUUAUGCAGGUUUGAAAUAGGCAAAAUCUUCCUAAACAAAUACUUUGCAUACAAUACCUCCAACCUCUAUUCCAGUAUAAUGUUUAAACUCUGUGCUAGAUGUCCACUUAGUUCUUUCAUUGAUGUGAAGCUAUUUCAUUAGGAGUCAGCAACUAUGCCCUGUGAUCUGACCCAAUGCCUGUUUUUGUAAAUAAAGUUUUAUUGGCACACAGCCACACCCAUUCAUUUACAAUUCGCAGAUGGUCACUUUCUCACUCCAAUGGAGUGGUGGCCACAGAAACCGUCUGGCCCAGAUGUCUAAAACAUUUAUUAUCUGGAUCUUUAUAGGAAAUGUUUGCUGGCUUUAGAGCGAGGAGUUUCAUCACUAGGAUAAGCGACUCCAUUUUCUUUUACCUAUGGAGAUUUCUCAGCCUUGCUGCACCUUAUUGCUAUAACUCUGUGACAUAUUGGUGGCCUCUACGCCACCUCUCAGCUGUCUGGCCUGAGAGCUCUGUCCAGACGGAUUGACAGAGGCCAGUACCUGGUGAAGAAGGCAGCAUCUGAGAGGAGCCAGGGAUGCAUUCAUUCACCCUUUCAUUCAGUCAUUCAGCGAGGGUGCAGCACGCAUCAGCUCUGUGCAGGCACUGUGUUAGGAACUGCAGAUACAGCCACGGCCAGUAGAAAGGGCACCUGUUCUCCUUUUGUUUGUUUUUGUUUUUGUUUUUGAGACAGAGCCUCACUCUGUCUCCCAGGCUGGAGUGCAGUGGCACAAUCUAGGCUCACUGCAACCUCCGCCUCCCAGGUUCAAGCAGUUCUCCCACCCCAACCUCCCAAAGGCUGGGAUUACAGGCAUGAAUCAUCGCGCUCAGCUGGCACCUGUUCUCACUAGGAUAGAUAUCAUAGCGGGGGAGACGUUGGAUGGACAAAUUGGCAAGGGGGAUAAGUUCAGGCACUGCCGUGUGCUGUGGAGAUAAUAAAAGGAAAGUGGGACAGACAGUGGGGCGUGGGGAGGCUGCCUGCUUAGCUGAGGCGGUCAGGGCUGGCUCUGAGGAGGUGACGCAUCCCUGAGAGCUGAAGGAGGAGAGCAAGGCAGCCAGGCAAAGGUCUGGCCGUGAGGCUCUGACUGUGCCUUCGUGCUGUUGUUCUUUGUCGAUGCACUCACCCAGGAAGCACUUGUACCCCGUCAUGGCGCUAGAAUAUUAACAAAUCAUGGUCCCUGUCACCAUGCAGGAAUUCAGAGUUGGCCUAACAGAAUGCUUAGAUUUCUUGGGUUUGAAUCCUGGCUUCACUGCUCAGGAGCUGUGUGACUGUAGACAAGUUGAUGAGCCUCUCUGAGUCUUGGUUUCCUUAACAGCAAAAGGGGGAUAAUAAUUGUAGCUGCGUUAUAAGGUUGUUAUGAGGACUCUGUGAACAACAGCACGUAAAGGCUAUAAUACCCCACCACAUACACAGGUUUUGCACCACAGCCCACAGGGGGCAGUUCACGUAGACCUCAGAGGUACAGUGACAGUGCAGAGCACGCGCUCAGAUAACCCUGACUCAGAGGCGUAGAGGGAGUGCAUGUGAGCCAAGCCCAGGACUGCACAGCAGGUGUUCCAGUGGAAGGUCUAGAACGCAAGGGGGGAUUCGUUUUGCUGUGUGGGGCAGGAAAAGGUUAUUUGGGAAGAACUCCCAGAAGAGGCAACAUUUAACAGUCUGUAGAUAGGUGGUUAGGAAUUCCUCAGCCUGAGCAAAGGUGGUGGGGGUGCCAGGUGAGGGAACGGUAUGCACAAAGGCGCGGUGUCUUGAAGCUUCGUGGCACCCCUAGGGAGGGAAGAGGAUCUGCAGGGGUGCCAUUGGUGUGUGGCAAGAUCAGAUGCGGGUCCCAAAGAUUACACUGGUAGCUUUGGGAGGAGAGGAGGUGAAGGUGGAGAGAAGGCCGAGAAGCCACGUGGGUAUCACUGAAACAGUUCUGGCCAACAAGGGUGAUGGCAACGACUUUGGAAAUGAAGAAAGAAAAGAAUGAUGAAGAAAAAAAGAUGCAUCAAUCCAGUCGGGCCAGCCCUGCUCAGAGCCUGCUGCAAACAGCCCUGUUUGUGUUGGCUGGUCUGUGCCUCUAUUGGUCAGGGUAACUCACCUGCAUUUAGCUUGAAGCAAGAACCUAAGGCCAAGUCCUUUUUUCUGACCUCUAAUGCAAAUGCCCCAUAUAGAUGUAGCAUUUUCUGACUUUCCUUAGAAGCUAGAAUGAUGCUGGGCCCAAAUCUGUACCCUUGGAUGUUUCGAACUCUCAGCCAUGGGCCCUUCACCAAAACUGUAAUGUUAAUCAACUUCGCACUUCCAACAUCCCUCUCCUUUAAGACCCCCACUAAUCAGCGAGUUCUCCCAGCAUGGCCAGAAGUCCCAGGCAUUCAAGGGACAUUUGAAAAUGUUCUCCACCUGGUAGGUGAGAUUCAGGUUUGGUGAAUGGAGUUCUGGUGUGAGCCGGGUGCCCCGCCUGCUGGAUCUGAUGGUAUCUCUGGCUGGCCUGUGUGAUGGCCCCGGCAGUCGCUCAGCACCUGAAAUGUGGCCGGCCCAAAUGGAGAUGCGAGGCGGGGAGAAACAGUAAUCUUCAUAUGGAUCCUGCAUUGAAAUGAGCAUCGUUUGGAUCAUCGAGUUAAAUAAAAUGUUAUCACAAUUCAUUUUACAUGCUUCUCUUUACUUUUUUUUUUUUUUUUUUUUUGAAACAGAGUCUCACUCUGUCGCCCAGGCUGGAGUGCAGUGGCACCAUCUCGGCUCACUGCAAGCUCCGCCUCCCGGGUUCAUGCCAUCCUCCUGCCUCAGACUCCCGAGUACCUGGGACUACAGGCGCCCGCCACCAUGCCCGGCUAAUUUUUUUGUAUUUUUAGUAGAGACGGGGUUUCACUGUGUUAGCCAGGAUGGUCUCGAUCUCCUGACCUCAUGAUCCGCCCGCCUCAGCCUCCCAAAGUGCUGGGAUUAUAGGCGUGAGCCACCGCUUCCGGCCGCUUCUCUUUACUUUUUAAAAGUAGCUACCAGAAAAUUUAAAAUCACAUUUGUGGUUCACAUUAUAUUUCUAGUAGACUGUGCUGAUCUAGAUAAAUGGUCCAUAUUCUUUUUUUCUUUUUCUUUGAGAUGGAGUCUCACUCUGUAGCCCAAGCUAGAGUGCAGUGGCGCAAUCUCGGCUCACUGCAACCUCUGCCUCCCGGGCUCAAGUGAUUCUCAUGCCUCAUCCUCCCGAGUAGCUGGUAUUACAGGCGCACACCACCAUGCGCACCCAAUUUUUUGUAUUUUAGUAGAGACGGGGUUUCACCGUGUUACCCAGAGUGGACUCGAACUCCUGAGCUCAGGCCAUCAGCCUCCCAAAGUGCUGGGAUUACAGACAUGAGCCACUGUGCCCGGCCCCAUAUUCAUUUCUUUAGGACUGAAUCUACUCCACACCUGCUGCAUUUGGACUGUGCAGUGUUUUAAAGACAUUUGAAUCUGUCAGUGAACUUUAAAACAUCGUCAUAUUUCACAUGAAAACCAGAGCUUUCAGCUUCUCAAAAAAUAUCCUUCUGGGCAUAGGUCUGGCUCAGGCGAGUAGCCACCGUGUGCUGUAGACAGGACAUCUGCUGGGAUCCAGUUCUUCAUGAGCCCCGUUCUACUGUCCCGACCGUCCUUCUGUGGCUGGCACGGCUGCCUGGUAGAGAGCAGGUGAUGUCUGAUCCAGACACCAGACUUGGGAGGAAACUUCCCGGUUCAUCCAGAAUAACCCCUGCUUCUGGGUUAGACAACGAGACAAGAGAGUCUGGAUGCUAGCCCAAUUACAGAACUGAGAAAGUGAAGUCUCUUGGCCUCAGUUUCCCUGUGUGCAAGGAGCAUAAUUAUAUGUACAGUCAGGAGUUGUUCAGCCUAAUGACUGCUUGCGAAGCCCCGUGAGAUGACUCGAUUAGGACCUCUGGAAAGGGUUCUCACCGGGACUUGGCCUUUGGUUCUCGCUCCAAGCUAAAUGCAGGUGAGUCACCCUGGCUGAUGGAGGCACGGAUCGGCCAACACAAACAGGCCUGUUUGCAGCAGGCUCCGAGCAGGGUUGGCCCCACUGGAUUGACACAGGGCUGUGUGGCUCGUCUAUGUCUCUAAACCAUGAAAGCGUUUUCCCUGCAGGUGCCCCGGCCCAGGGUAGCUGAGGGUGCUGCAGAGAAGGGCGCCGCCUCUAGCUUCUGAUGUCUAACGCAAAUGCUCCAUAUACAUGUGGUGUUUUCUGACUUUCCUUAGAAGCAAUGAUGAUGCCGGGCCCAAAUCUCCACCCUUGGAUGUUUAAAACUCACUCAGCCAUGGGCACUUCACCAAAACAGUAGUAGUAAUGAUAAUAAACUUCCCACUUCCAACAUCCCUCUCCUUUGAAAUCCCACUAAGCAGCGAGGUCUCCCAGCAUGGCCAGAUGACCAGACAAGGCUUAUCACACCCAGAACCACUUAGCACCUUCCAGAGGGAACGGAGCCCUAGCUGGAUUGAAGCUGCAGGGGAAAGGGCGGGAGAUCCCACGCUGAUGUUCCCAGGCCCAGGCAGGCAGCUCCGAUUUGCUGGUCUUGCCCCCAGAUCCUGUUCCAUUUGAAAGAUGACGCAGGAAGGAGACAAGAUCACUCCCUUCUCCAGGGCGCUGCUUGGGUGAAGCCUGGGCUGUCCUGUGGGUGUUCUUUGUUUCUGUCUGGAGAAGACAGGACCGUGUACCACGGGUGAGGGUGCUUUCCAACUCUGCAGAGACUGGCAUUCUAACACAAAGCAUGCCCCUCUUACCACAGCACUGCAAGGCUGGCACCACCUGCAGCAGACAGCGCCUUGACAGGGGACCGAGGGGCCCUUUCUUACCGUGGAGGACAUUACAGUAGUCGCGGGAUUUGCACGGAUAGAGGGAGGGAGGUGUCUGGGUAAGCCGUGGAGGUCCUCCUUCCUCACUGCCGUGCCCCCGAGGACACACAGGAAAUGGCUCUGCUGACCCCUGGGCCAAUAUUAAAGCUGGGAACAAGAAGGCAGGACUCUAGGGCUCAGGUGAGCUCACCUAGAACAGCUUAUACAACAGGUCCCUGCUCAGGUCCUUCCAAAGCCACCUGUGGCAAAGCAGUGGAUGAUGGCUGUAACCAUGGGUGGAGGGUGGCGUGAGUUAGUGCCGCCACUAUAUGUCAUGAAAAGCCUGUCCUAGGACACCAGGAUAGAGGAGAUUCUGCUUCCAGCCCGGUGAAGCUCCCCACUGAGCUCCCAGCCCUGCCCUCUCUCUGGAACCAGCCUUGGCUGCAUCUGCCCUGACCCCCAUCUUCCCUUGAACUUCUGUGAUCUGCAUCCCAGGGUCAGGCGGUGGAGUGUGGCCUGACUUUUCUGUUCCGUUUGACUUGGACAUCGGAAGACAUUGCCUCUUUAAAGACACAAAAUAUCUCUCUUCUUUUUUUGGUGGGGAGAGGGAGUGGUCUGCAUCUCUCUGUGGAGUCUAGAGCAGGGUUGGGUAGAGAUGCAGCCCAGGGAUGAAAGACAGAUGGCCUGGGCGUGCAGGCACUGGCUGCCUCUCUUGUCAUUUAUGUUAGUUAUGGUGACACCAAUUAUGACCCAGCACUUACCGGUGUUCUCAUUAUAUAACCCUACCCGCGCUUCCCAGGGGUUGAUCCUGUCAUUAAUGCUCCCAUU